RNAcentral lists this antisense RNA (2790 nucleotides) under Mus musculus (house mouse). Its description in RNAcentral is "XistAR". The stretch from base 515 to 595 matches the Rfam family "X-chromosome inactivation gene exon 1". Lineage: Eukaryota; Metazoa; Chordata; Mammalia; Rodentia; Muridae. The record is from RNAcentral.
AGAAUCUAGAUGCCAUAAAGGCAAGAACACACAGAAAGUUGAAAUGUAGGCCUUAAUAUUACUAUUAUAACAGUAAGUCUGAUAGAGGACACAGAGCAUUACAAUUCAAGGCUCUUGCUGACAAGUAAAACCAUUAGUCAAUAUAGCAUCAACAAUAGCAACAAAAGCAAAGCCUGAACUGGUAUAGAACCUCAAAUACUCCUGACAUCCAGUCAUAAUGUUCACUUUACAUUAACAGUAUCUGUGUUAUAAGACUUAAAAAUUUGAAGAGUAGCUCGGUGGAUGAGUUUGAAAGAAAGUACAUUUAAGUGCCAAGUAAUUUGAGUAUCAUCUGCCAAAAAAAUUAUUGAAAACUUUAAGGACUCCAAAGUAACAAUUCACUAAAGGUAAUUAAAAUGAAUUCAACAAGUAAGCAAAUCGUAAAUACAUUUUGAAAACAAUCACUUCGGUUUUAAAUUCAAACACUAGCAAAGCACACUAUCAGACGUGUCGUUGGCAUCCAAAAUAUUCAUUGAAAUCAAAAUGCAACCCCAGCAAUAGUCAUGGGGUAGAUUUUGGAAGAAGGUAGGAUUCUACCUCUUCACCAGUGAUUUGUGAUCCACUAUGACUCUGGCCAAAGUCACCACUUAUACCCAGUAGGCUUAGAGAACCGCUUGAGAUCAGUGCUGGCUAAAUCAGAGGCCAAGGUGUAAGUAGACUAGCCACUGAACAAUACAAAGGAAUGGAACGGGCUGAGUUUUAGUUUGCACCGCCACGUAUAGAGCACUGUAAGAGACUAUGAACGCAAGCGGAUGAGUCAAAUGUCCUUGAAAUGGCCUUAGAUACUUUUCUUUCUUUUAAUAGGUGAGGUUUCAAUGAUUUACAUCGACCAAGAACCCGCAGCCUCGGUCUCUCGAAUCGGAUCCGACAUCAUCCAACACUUCAGUGUUAGAAUUGCAAGCAUGCGCUCUCCCGACCUGGGCAGGCACUUCGAAAAAAUGAUGACUAAAGACACACGUGAAGUACCAAGCGAAACUCACGUCCUUAUGGGACAGUGACUCAUCACAGUCUAAUUCCAUCCUGGCCACCAAGCAAUAAUGCACAUUUCUAACUGGAAGUCAAGCAAACACCAACACUUUCACACUUGUGCCCAUUUCUGACGAGUUACGUCAAGUGGCAACCAACACUUCCACUUAGCCUUGCCUCAGCUUCGAGUGGCACAAGGUAGGACCAACCACACCCUACCAUAAUGCACCAAGUGUACCCUCGGGCAAAGCCCGCCAAGUAGCUAAAGCCCGCCAAAAAAAAAAUCACUGAAAGAAACCACUAGAGGGCAGGUCACAUGACUUCCGCCAUCUUAGACACAUUCAAGAGCAUGUGCCACCUCUCCAGGCUAACUCAGACAUGAAGCUGACAUGUGACACACAAAGCCCUUUGCGUUAUACCGCACCAAGAACUUGAGCCGCCAUCUUUUCCUGUACGACCUAAAUGUCCUAUAAUCCAUUGCUACACACCAGAACAAAGAUUGGGCUGUCGAGCCUCGGGUGGAGCCCCCGAGCCGCCAUUUUAUAGACUUCUGAGCAGCCCUUAAAGCCACGGGGGACCGCGCCAGGGGUCCAUAUGCACACACACCCUGCCCAAUCCCCACACCCACGCUGAGCCCUAUCCCCUAGUCCUCUGCGGCUUCCGCGCAACACCGCACACUAAUACGAGCACUCCUUGGCUUUCUACUUCCGGCUAGCACAACCCCGCAAAUGCUACCACAAAUCAAGGCGAAUCCCGCAACCCCGCACAUAUAAAGAAAGCCUUUAGCUAGCGCAGCGCAAUUGGUUGCUUUUAUCCAGUCCGCUGUGCUCCUCGGUGUCCUAAUUCUUGGCGUAACUGGCUCGAGAAUAGCCGUAUCACGCAGAAGCCAUAAUGGCGGACGCGGGCUCUCCACGCCCUGAACACCCACUCAGUUUAAGAGCAAAGUCGUUUUUCUAAGCCAUAGGUUCACUCACACAGCACCAAACGAUCAGCAGCAACAGUACACGCAAAUAAGAGGCAUAGAUAUUCCAGGUAGUGCAAUAACUCACAAAACCAUAUUUCCAUCCACCAAGCGCCCCGUUGGGCCGUGAAAAAAAAAAUUUAAAGCAGGUAUCCACAGCCCCGAUGGGCAAAAGAAAAAGAAAAAAAAAUAAUAACAGCAGGUAUCCGAGGCCCCGUUGGGCAUGGGAAAAAAAGACUAAACGCAGGUAUCCGAGGUCCCGAUGGACCGAGAAAGGUUUUUUUGUUUUUUUUUUUUUUUUUACAAAAAGCAGGUAUCCAUGGCCCCGAUGGGCUAAGGAGAAGAAAAAAAGAAUAAAAGCAGGUAUCCACAGCCCAGAUGGGCAAGUUUAGAAAAAAAAAUAAUAAGAAAAAAAAAGAAUGAAAAGGCAGGUAAGUAUCCAAAACCCCGUUGGGCAUGGAAUGGCGGGGAGGACACACAGGUAUCCGUGGCCCCGAUGGGCAAGAAUAUAUAAACAAUGAAAGAAAGGUAAGUCCACCAUACACACACAAGUAUCAACCAAAAGGCACAACAAAGAAAUAUUCCUUAAAAAUGAAAAAUUGACUGAAAAUAUUACAAAUAUCAAAAAGUAUGGAGGACAUGUCAAAAAAAAAAUCUUACCAGAACAUAUCAAAACGUCAAAAAUCUCGUGGAAUUUUGAUAUGUUUUCUUAAAUAAGCCAUAAGGCUUGGUGGUAGGGGAACUAAAAAUGUUCCCCCAAAGCUCCUUAGAUGGAGAGAAACCACGGAAGAACCGCACAUCCACGGGAAACGAGCAAACAUGGC